CGACUUAUAUUCUGUAGCAAGGUUAACCGUAUAGGGGAGCCGGAGGGAAACCGAGUCUUAAUUGGGCGUUAAGUUGCAGGGUAUAGACCCGAAACCCGGUGAUCUAGCCAUGGGCAGGUUGAAGGUUGGGUAACACUAACUGGAGGACCGAACCGACUAAUGUUGAAAAAUUAGCGGAUGACCUGUGGCUGGGGGUGAAAGGCCAAUCAAACCGGGAGAUAGCUGGUUCUCCCCGAAAGCUAUUUAGGUAGCGCCUCGUGAAUUCAUCUCCGGGGGUAGAGCACUGUUUCGGCUAGGGGGCCAUCCCGGCUUACCAACCCGAUGCAAACUGCGAAUACCGGAGAAUGUUAUCACGGGAGACACACGGCGGGUGCUAACGUCCGUCGUGAAGAGGGAAACAACCCAGACCGCCAGCUAAGGUCCCAAAGUCAUGGUUAAGUGGGAAACGAUGUGGGAAGGCCCAGACAGCCAGGAUGUUGGCUUAGAAGCAGCCAUCAUUUAAAGAAAGCGUAAUAGCUCACUGGUCGAGUCGGCCUGCGCGGAAGAUGUAACGGGGCUAAACCAUGCACCGAAGCUGCGGCAGCGAACGUAUCACCCAAGACAACUUUACGGAGUUGACGAUUGACGGAGCGAAGCGACGUCAAAGCGUUCAUUAAAGUCGAGUUGGCUUAGGGAUACGUUCGUUGGGUAGGGGAGCGUUCUGUAAGCCUGUGAAGGUGUGUCGUGAGGCAUGCUGGAGGUAUCAGAAGUGCGAAUGCUGACAUAAGUAACGAUAAAGCGGGUGAAAAGCCCGCUCGCCGGAAGACCAAGGGUUCCUGUCCAACGUUAAUCGGGGCAGGGUGAGUCGACCCCUAAGGCGAGGCCGAAAGGCGUAGUCGAUGGGAAACGGGUUAAUAUUCCCGUACUUGGUGUUACUGCGAAGGGGGGACGGAGAAGGCUAUGUUGGCCGGGCGACGGUUGUCCCGGUUUAAGCGUGUAGGUGUGUGUUCCAGGUAAAUCCGGUU
Molecule: ribosomal RNA, 1004 nt
Filed under: Salmonella enterica
Lineage: Bacteria; Pseudomonadati; Pseudomonadota; Gammaproteobacteria; Enterobacterales; Enterobacteriaceae
Description: partial 23S ribosomal RNA
Rfam family: Bacterial large subunit ribosomal RNA
Source: RNAcentral